AAUUUUUGUUAAAUGUUGAUUUUUCAAAUAUUUAAUGGACAAUUUAUAUUAAUCUAUAAGUUGAGUAUACAAAAUAAGUUGUUUCUAAUUUGUAGAAACAUUUUUCGACUGUAAGCGGUGGUCAGUUCAAUAUACAUGAGUAUGAAUGAAACUCAAGAAUAGUAUAUUUAAUUUUUAUCUUUGGAAAAGAAAACAAUGAUUAAGACUGACCAAAUACUUCUCUGGCAUAAGUGUAAGGCUUAUUACAUACAAGAACUGAACAUGCAUAGGUUUUUUAUUAAAUUGCUAAGAACUCUAUGAAUAACAGAAAUUGUGCAUUUAAGUAUUAGUUAUGUUAAUUGUGUCAUAGACAAUAUUCUUAUAAAAUGGAUAUUGGAAUAGUUAAAAUUGCUGAAGAUAAGGAUUUUGAGAAGUUGAAACAUUUAUAUGAUGAUAAUAAUGAUUGGAGAUUAGAUUAUAAUAAACCUGAUUUAUCAGUUUGGACAAAAUCUGUAUCAGGAAUUAGUUUUAGAAUGGUAAAGAUUAGAACACGUUUUGCCGAUGUUCUACCAGAAACAUUAUAUGAUGUGUUACAUGACCCUGAGUAUAGAAAGGUUUGGGACACCCACAUGAUUGAAUCAAAAGACAUAGGCUUUUUUAAUCCAAAUAACGAUAUUGGUUAUUAUUCAAUGGCCUGUCCAUCUCCAUUGAAAAACAGAGAUUUUGUUCUACAAAGAUCAUGGCUUGAUACUGGUAUAGAGCAAUUAAUUUUGAAUCAUUCUGUUUUUCAUAAAGAUUAUCCACCAAGAAAGCAAUUUGUACGAGCAACAUCUUAUCUUACAGGAUAUAUAGUAAGACCAUCUCGAAAUGGUGAUGGCUCUGAAUUAGGCUAUGUCUCUCAUACUGAUCCACAUGGAAAAUUACCAGUAUGGUUGGUUAAUAAAGUUACGCAAAUAUUUGCUCCAAGAAUGGUUAAAAAAUUACAUAAAGCUUCUGUAGCUUACCCUAAUUGGAAAUUACUUAAUAACCCAAAUUAUAAACCUUGGCAUUUCCCUGAACAAAUUGCAUCACCACGUAUAAGAAUUGAGGAUUGUGUAAAGUCUGCAGAAGAAAAAAAUUCAAAAAAUUAUUAUGUUGAUGAAUCAGAAUUAAAAGAGUCAGUUACAAUGGACAGUGAUUAGUUUUAUUCAUAAAGUAGAUGUUUCCAUUGUUAACAUUAAGAAAAUAAUAUAAUAGUUGAAAUUAUAAAAUGCAGUAUUAUAGAAGUUUGUAGUAUCAACAGAGCUUGAUGAAAGUUAAUUUAUUCGUGUAAAUGUGUAUAUAACUAUAUAUUAUCUAUAUACACAUCCACACAUCUAACUGCAAUUUAUUAAUUAUAUUGAUAAUAGUAGUAUCAUAAAUAGUUAUGUGGCCUAUUGCAAUGAAUGACAGUAUGAUUAAUAAGAAUACAUCACGGCCUGUCUUGUAUUAAAUAUUAUAUAGUUAUAGUUCCUUAUUGAAUCGGUGAUGUAUGUGUUGUUGAAAGUAUAAUUUGUUACAUGUGAUUCAACAUAACGCACAAUAUGCAGGUUGUAAUGUUUAAUUUAUGUGUUUAUUUGUUUUUAUUGUUUUAUGUGAGUAUUUAAGUAUUGCAUAUAAUAAUUUUUGUAUAUAUGUAUAAAAAUUAUCAUUGAGGGUACAAAAGAUUUACAUAUUGUCUACAUUAAAUAUUUAUUAAGAUUAAUGCAUUAUAGCUUGAUAAAUAGAUAACGAUUGUAGCAUCUUAAUAUUACAAGUGCGAUUUUAGGAAUAUUAGAGAAAUCUUAGUGUUUGGAUACAGAAAUAGUGAUCACAUACAACAAUAUAAAUAUUAAUUUUCUUAAAAAUGAUACUGCAUAAUAUUAUUAGUUAUAAUUAUUAGUUUUGUACUUUGUGAUAUACAAUUGUUGACUUAUUUUGUUUUAUUUAUGUUAAAAUUUAUGUUACUUAUCAUAUUUUUUAUAUUACAUCUAUAUAUAACUUGUCUAGACAAUAGGUAAAUAUAUCCAGUAAAUUAUAUAAAUUCUCUUGCUUUUACCAUAGUGUAGUUCUUCUAUUUAGAACCUUUUACACUUUGUAAAAAGAAUUAAGAUUUUCUAUAUUCAUUAAAUAUUCUGCUUCAAUUAAUGUAAUUAACAUAUCCUAUUUAUACAAUGUUCUAUUUACAUUUAUACAAUUAUGACAUUUAUCUCUUAUAAUAACACAUACGUUUUGUGAUUUUCUAUAUUUAAUAAUAAUAACUAGCUUUCUAAAGUAUAUGUACAUACAUAUUUAUACUUACAUAAAUUAUCAGAAUAUACAUUGGUAUUUAAUGUUAUUUAUGAAUUUUUUCAAUGUGAUGAAUAUUUCAAUUUUUUGGAGAUAAACUGAUUCUACAUGUUUAAUUUUAUAUGUCAUCUUUCAUGCAUUUAAUUAUUUAAAUGUUUCAAUUCUAAUUGCACUUGCCUUAGAAUGUAAUGGCCUUGAUAAAUUUAAGAUAAAAUUUAUUUGUGUAUAUUGAGUACAUUCUAAUCAUACUAAAUAUUUUUAUUUCCUAAAUUACAGUGUCAAUUGAAAGACAAAUAACUUGAAAUUUCUGUAUAUACAUAUACUGAUGUAUUUAUGUGAUUAGAAUUUUUACAUUAUACAUAUAUAUUUCUGUAUGUACUUACAUAGCAAAAGAUAGUUAUUAUAUCAGAAUAAUAUUUGUGAUAUUAUUUUUAGGAAUUUUGAAGAUGGUUAAUGAAGAUUUAAAAAAGAUGAGAAUUGUAUUACUUUUUAAAUCUACCAAUUUGGCUGAUAUCGAUAUCCUGGUGCAAGUUUAUAUAUACAAAGGUGAUAUAAAAGUACAUAAAUCAAUUGUGGUUUAUUAAUUGAUUCUUAUGUAUUAUUUUUUUACUUGUUUUAAAUGGUCUCUAUUUGUAUACAAUACAAUUAUAUGUAUGAUUAGUGCAAUUCAUUAUUGAGGUAAUUAUUAUUUUUAUCUGUUAUGUGGAAAUAAUGAUAUACUCUAUAUAUUUUUAUCCGAAUAUAUUUAGCAAAUUGUUAGAGACAAAGUAUCAAAAUAAUGAUUGGAUUCCAUAUAAGCAUUAGUCUUCAAUGUAAGGGUUUGAUUUGAUGUAUUUCAUAAAUUUGACGUAACUGUUAUUAAGUUUACGAUGAGAAGAAAAAUUUCUAGUACAGGUAAUUAUAAAUUUAUUUUGUACCAGGAAGUUACUGCAGGGCCGGAAGAUAAACGGAAAUAAAGAAUAUAUAUAUAAUUAUAAAUUUAUUUCUGUCCAUUAUUACUAAUUUUAACAAAUUUCAUGUUUAU
Bombus pyrosoma is the source of this 3289-nucleotide RNA transcript. It is a transcript of the gene named START domain-containing protein 10-like, with no coding region annotated. The record is from RefSeq and is a predicted model, not a curated record. Lineage: Eukaryota; Metazoa; Arthropoda; Insecta; Hymenoptera; Apidae. The transcript is spliced from 9 exons.